Molecule: non-coding RNA, 603 nt
Filed under: Pongo abelii (Sumatran orangutan)
Lineage: Eukaryota; Metazoa; Chordata; Mammalia; Primates; Hominidae
Source: RNAcentral
CAGCUCAGGCAGAUUUCUAAGCAGCAAAUCAGCCUCUGCCAGAACACUGCAGGACACCAGUGCAGCGCCCAGCCUGCGACCAUGAGGCAUUUAAAAAUUUGUGGCACUUCCAGAGUCACAUCAACAUUCCCUGAUGGAAGCCUUUAGAAAUCCUAACCAGGAAGUGGCCAGAGCCUGGAGCCAGAGACGAACGUCCCUCGUAGGAGGGGUUGCUGGAGGGGGAGGGGCAAAUCUAUUUCAUUCUGUCCUUGCAGGCACAUUUUCAUCAGUUAAUGAUGCAAACCAGGCUGAAACGUUCUUAACAAGCAUGUGUGUUUCUGUUUUUCAUUUGAAAGUCGGAGCAUGAGGCUAUAUUCAUCAUAGAGGCAGGGUUUCUCUGUGUCAGAGCUCAGCAUUGGCAGCUCUAGCAAAGGACAGACUGCAUUUAGCUGAUUCUUUUCUAAGAAGCCACAGUCAGGCACUAAACCAGCAUCUACACCUCUGAGGCCCCUCAAAGCCUCCAGUGAAGCUGGGCUUGAUCAGACCUCAAAAAGAUCUCCCUUUGUGUUUUGCUCUUAGUUCUCAGUGAUCUUUAAAAAAUAAUAAUAAAAAAAUAAAUUAGAA